This 599-nucleotide ribosomal RNA is filed under the name uncultured bacterium. Its description in RNAcentral is "bacterial SSU rRNA". It matches the Rfam family "Bacterial small subunit ribosomal RNA", at positions 28 to 608 of the family's 1533-position model. The record is from RNAcentral.
GACGAACGCUGACGGUGUGCUUUAACAUGCAAGUCGAACGAGAAAGCCCUUCGGGGUUAGUAAAGUGGCGAACGGGUGCGUAACACGUGGGUAAUCUACCCCUCGCAGAGGGACAACCGGGGGAAACCCCGGCUAAUACCUCGUACGCUUGCCGGGCCGCAUGGUCCUGGUAAGGAAAGGUAGCUUCGGCCAUCCGGCGAGGGAUGAGCCCGCGGUACAUUAGCUAGUUAGGUGAGGUAACGGCUCACCAAGGCUACGAUGUAUAGCUGGUCUGAGAGGAUGAUCAGCCACACUGGGACUGAGACACGGCCCAGACUCCUACGGGAGGCAGCAGUCGGGAAUCUUGCACAAUGGGCGAAAGCCUGAUGCAGCAACACCGCGUGAGCGAGGAAGGCCUUCGGGUCGUAAAGCUCUGUUGUUAGGGGACGAAGGGCGAAGGGUUAAUAGCCCCUAGCCUGACGGUACCCUUCGAGGAAGCCCCGGCUAACUACGUGCCAGCAGACGCGGUAAUACGUAGGGGGCGAGCGUUGUACCGGAAUUAUAUGGGCGUAACAGAGCGUGUAGGCGGCCUGGUAAAGUCUGCCGUGAAACCUUGGGGG